Molecule: ribosomal RNA, 553 nt
Filed under: Bipolaris oryzae
Lineage: Eukaryota; Fungi; Ascomycota; Dothideomycetes; Pleosporales; Pleosporaceae
Description: eukaryotic LSU rRNA
Rfam family: 5.8S ribosomal RNA (bases 202-355)
Source: RNAcentral
UUUCGAGGGUGACCUUCGGAGGAUCAUACACACAAAAUAGAUGCCUUGGCUUUCCGGCGGGAUGAACAAUUUUUUUCACCCCAAGUUUUUUGUGCACUUGUUGUUUCCUUGGCGGGUUCGCCUCGCCACCAGGACCAAACCAUAAACCUUUUUUUCUUAUGCAGUUUCCAUCAGCGUCAGUAAAAACAAUGUAAUUAUUACAACUUUCAACAACGGAUCUCUUGGUUUUGGCAUCGAUGAAGAACGCAGCGAAAUGCGAUACGUAGUGUGAAUUGCAGAAUUCAGUGAAUCAUAGAAUCUUUGAACGCACAUUGCGCCCUUUGGUAUUCCAAAGGGCAUGCCUGUUCGAGCGUCAUUUGUACUUUCAAGCUUUGCUUGGUUUUGGGCGUUUUUUUGUCUCCCUCUUUCUGGGAGACUCGCCUUAAAACGAUUGGCAGCCGGCCUACUGGUUUCGGAGCGCAGCACAUUUUUUGCGCUUUGUAUCAGGAGAAAAGGACGGUACUCCAUCAAGACUGAUACAUUUUUCACGGUGAUCCUCGGAUUGCCGGGGAAG